CCCGGUUUGGCACCGGCAGUCCUCCCAGAGUCCUCGGCGUUACCCGGUAGCAACUGGGAGCGGGGGUUGCGCUCGUUGCGGGACUUAACCCAACAUCUCACGACACGAGCUGACGACAGCCAUGCAGCACCUGUCGAGGGACUCCGAAGAGGGCUCGUGGUUUCUCACGAGUUUCCCCUCGAUGUCAAGCCCAGGUAAGGUUCUUCGCGUUGCGUCGAAUUAAACCACAUGCUCCGCUGCUUGUGCGGGGCCCCGUCAAUUCCUUUGAGUUUUAGCCUUGCGGCCGUACUCCCCAGGCGGGGUGCUUAAUGCGUUAGCUACGGCACGGAAGGAGUCGACACCUCCCACACCUAGCACCCAUCGUUUACGGCGUGGACUAC
This 380-nucleotide unclassified non-coding RNA is filed under the name uncultured bacterium. RNAcentral describes it as "contains 16S-23S intergenic spacer region". The record is from RNAcentral.